ACUCAAAGGAAUUGACGGGGGCCCGCACAAGCGGUGGAACAUGUGGUUUAAUUCGAUGCUACGCGAAGAACCUCACCAGGGCUUGACAUGCAAGAAGUAGUGAACUGAAAGGGGAUCGAACUGUUAAGUCAGUAGCUUGCACAGGUGCUGCAUGGCUGUCGUCAGCUCGUGUCGUGAGAUGUUGGGUUAAGUCCCGCAACGAGCGCAACCAUUAUCUCUUGUUGCCACCAAUUUUUUGCCGUAAGGCGAAGAGUUGAGCACUCUAGAGAGACUGCCUGGGAUAACCAGGAGGAAGGUGGAGAUGACGUCAAGUCAGUACGGCCUUUAUACCCUGGGCGACACACGUGUUACAAUGGUAGAUACAGAGGGUUGCCAACCCGCGAGGGGGAGCUAAUCUCAAAAAAUCUGCCUCAGUUCAGAUUGAAGUCUGCAAUUCGACUUCAUGAAGCCGGAAUCGCUAGUAAUGGCAGAUCAGCACGCUGCCGUGAAUACGUUCCCGGGCCUUGUACACACCGCCCGU
This 520-nucleotide ribosomal RNA is filed under the name uncultured bacterium. RNAcentral describes it as "partial 16S ribosomal RNA". It matches the Rfam family "Bacterial small subunit ribosomal RNA", at positions 899 to 1397 of the family's 1533-position model. The record is from RNAcentral.